Malus domestica (apple) is the source of this 2661-nucleotide RNA transcript. It is a transcript of the gene named conserved oligomeric Golgi complex subunit 2-like, with no coding region annotated. The record is from RefSeq and is a predicted model, not a curated record. NCBI's taxonomy places the organism in Eukaryota, Viridiplantae, Streptophyta, Magnoliopsida, Rosales, Rosaceae.
CCGGUAAACCAGUCGUCUCCAUUUUCUAACACCCCAACAUAACCACCUCCUCGAUUCCGAUUUUCCCACGCACUUUCUCGGCAUCCAAACACGUUGUAACGAAAUCAGAAGAAGAAAGACAAGUGAGAGAAAAAGAGAAAUCUAAGUCCAAUGGCGGAUCCAAUCGCAGCCCCGCACAGAUCCGCCGCGGACCUCUUCUCGGACCCGCUCGACUCCCACCCUCUCUGGUUCAAGCCCGCGCUCUUCCUCUCGCCAGAGUUCGACUCCGAGUCGUACAUCUCCGACCUCCGGACCUUCGUGCCCUUCGACACGCUCCGAUCCGAGCUCCAGUGCUACCUGGCCUCCCUCAACCACGAGCUCAUCGACCUCAUCAACCGCGACUACGCCGACUUCGUCAACCUCAGCACCAAGCUCGUCGACGUCGACUCCGCAGUCGUCCGUAUGCGGGCCCCGCUUGUUGAGCUAAGGGAGAAGAUCGAGCAGUUCAGAGGCUCCGUGCAGAACUCGCUCGUGGCUUUGACGAACGGAUUGAAGCAGAGAUCAGAGGCGGCCGAGGCCAGAGAGGUCUUGGAGCUCCUGCUUGAUACGUUUCAUGUCGUUUCUAAGGUUGAAAAACUAAUAAAAGAGCUGCCCAGUGUGCCGGCUGAUUGGUCGAACGGAGAUGUAAAUUUGGCAGAGAAGAAUUCUAUUAGCAAUGGAGCUUCCUUGCAACAUACUGAGAACGGAACAAAUCUCAGAGACACUCAAAGCAUGCUUUUGGAGAGAAUUGCUAGUGAAAUGAACCGGCUGAAGUUCUAUUUCGCUCAUGCACAGAACCUGCCUUUCAUUGAAAACAUGGAGAAGAGGAUUCAGGGUGCCAGCCUAUUAUUAGAUGCUAGCUUGGGACAUUGUUUUGUAGAUGGACUGGAACAUCGAGAUGCAAAUGCAAUUUACAAUUGUUUACGUGCAUAUGCUGCAAUUGAUAACACUAGGGGUGCCGAAGAACUUUUUCGCACAACUAUAGUAGCUCCAUUGAUACAAAAAAUUAUUCCACAUGGAACAUCGGGGGCAGCUACAAGACCCUCUGGAGAUGACCUUGAGAAUGAUUAUAAGCAAAUCAGGACAUGUAUUGAGAAAGACUGCAAAUUUUUGUUGGAAAUUUCUUUCGAAGAGAAUUCUGGUUUGCACGUUUUUGACUUCUUGGCAAAUUCAAUUCUCAAAGAGGUUCUCUCAGCGAUCCAAAAGGGGAAACCCGGUGCUUUUUCUCCUGGAAGACCAACAGAGUUUUUGAAAAACUACAAAUCAAGCCUAAAGUUCUUGGCUCAUCUAGAAGGCUAUUGUCCAUCCAGAUCAGCUGUUUCCAAAUUUCGAGCGGAAGCUGUUUAUAUUGACUUCAUGAAGCAAUGGAACCUUGGGGUUUAUUUCUCUUUGAGGUUUCAGGAAAUUGCGGGGGCUCUAGAUUCUAUACUUGUGGAGACCAGUCUUCUCCCUAUGCAUAAUGUACCAUCUGGUCAAGGAAAUUCUCUAGCUUUAACAUUAAAACAAAGUGUCACUUUGUUGGAGUGCUUGGAAUCCUGUUGGAGAGAAGAUGUCAUUGUUCUUUCUUGUGCUGACAAGUUUCUGCGCUUAUCAUUGCAGCUUCUUUCAAGAUACUCAAGUUGGUUGUCGUCUGGACUGGCUGCUCGUAAGAUGGGUCAAACCGGCUCCAAAUCUGGUUGUGAAUGGGCUAUUUCAGCUGUUCCUGACGAUUUUAUAUAUAUUAUUCAUGACGCAGACCAGCUGUACAAGGUGGUUUGUGGUGACUUCCUUGGGCAUGUACUUAAGCUUCUUUCUUCUUGUCCUGCCGAUGUUCUUGAUCUUGUAAAACAGAGCCUGUUACAAGGAGGAAAAUCAUUGAAUGAUUUAGUGCCUCAAGUUAUCAACACAAUUGUAGAGGCACUAGUUGAAAAAUCUGCUGCGGAAUUGGCACAGCUAAAGGGAAUAACUGCAACAUACAGGAUGACGAAUAAGCCUCUUCCUGUCAGACAUUCACCCUAUGUGGCAGGAGUAUUGCGUCCCCUGAGGAUUAUAAAUUAUAUACUGAACAAGCAACAACUUCCAGGCAUUUUUGGAAGGAGAACGAGCUACACAGUAUCUUACAAGGGACGCUAUCAACGAAGUGCUGCUUAAUGCUGCAACCGAGAUUACUGGUCGUUAUAAUGAGCAAGCUGCCAACGUCGUCAGUGUGGCUAGGAAAACGGAGACUUCACUCCAGAGAAUAAGGCAAGGUGCACAAAGACGAGGUGGAGCAAGUUCAGAUGUUUCGGAUCACAAUGUAUCGGACACUGAUAAGAUAUGCAUGCAAAUUUUUCUUGACAUUCAGGAGUAUGGGCGUAACCUCGCCGCCCUCGGUGUUGAUGUUUCCAAUAUUGAGGCGUACCGUUCCUUGUGGGAAUGCGUUGCUCCUCCGGACAGGAAAAGCGUGAUUGAUUUCUGAAGUUGGGCAUUUAGCCUUCACCCGGUUUGUAGAUUUGAGCAUUUGGCAUUGACCCGUUUUGUAGAUGUAUUUUCUCACUUUUCAAAUCCAAAGAGUUUUGUUGUAAGUUGAUUAGUUGUGAAGUGUUGUUUGUUGCAAGAGGUUUCUCACAUUCUCAACAACAAAAUAUUAUAAAUUUAGUAUAAAUUAUCUAUCGUUUGUCAAAA